AUUGAACGCUGGCGGCAGGCCUAACACAUGCCAGUCGAACGGUAACAGGAAACAGCUUGCUGUUUCGCUGACGAGUGGCGGACGGGUGAGUAAUGUCUGGGAAACUGCCUGAUGGAGGGGGAUAACUACUGGAAACGGUAGCUAAUACCGCAUAACGUCGCAAGACCAAAGAGGGGGACCCUCGGGCCUCUUGCCAUCGGAUGUGCCCAGAUGGGAUUAGCUUGUUGGUGGGGUAACGGCUCACCAAGGCGACGAUCCCUAGCUGGUCUGAGAGGAUGACCAGCCACACUGGAACUGAGACACGGUCCAGACUCCUACGGGAGGCAGCAGUGGGGAAUAUUGCACAAUGGGCGCAAGCCUGAUGCAGCCAUGCCGCGUGUAUGAAGAAGGCCUUCGGGUUGUAAAGUACUUUCAGCGGGGAGGAAGGGAGUAAAGUUAAUACCUUUGCUCAUUGACGUUACCCGCAGAAGAAGCACCGGCUAACUUCGUG
This 490-nucleotide ribosomal RNA is filed under the name uncultured bacterium. Its description in RNAcentral is "partial 16S ribosomal RNA". It matches the Rfam family "Bacterial small subunit ribosomal RNA", at positions 30 to 507 of the family's 1533-position model. The record is from RNAcentral.